This 74-nucleotide transfer RNA is filed under the name Ovis aries (sheep). It matches the Rfam family "tRNA". Rfam says of the family: Transfer RNA (tRNA) molecules are approximately 80 nucleotides in length. Their secondary structure includes four short double-helical elements and three loops (D, anti-codon, and T loops). The record is from Rfam by way of RNAcentral. Lineage: Eukaryota; Metazoa; Chordata; Mammalia; Artiodactyla; Bovidae.
AGCACCUAGGCUUAGUUGGUUAAAGCACCUGUCUAAUAAACGGGAGCUCAUGGGCUCAAAUCCCAGAAGUACCU